RNAcentral lists this transfer RNA (72 nucleotides) under Camelus bactrianus (Bactrian camel). It matches the Rfam family "tRNA". Rfam says of the family: Transfer RNA (tRNA) molecules are approximately 80 nucleotides in length. Their secondary structure includes four short double-helical elements and three loops (D, anti-codon, and T loops). Further hydrogen bonds mediate the characteristic L-shaped molecular structure. tRNAs have two regions of fundamental functional importance: the anti-codon, which is responsible for specific mRNA codon recognition, and the 3' end, to which the tRNAs corresponding amino acid is attached (by aminoacyl-tRNA synthetases). tRNAs cope with the degeneracy of the genetic code in two manners: having more than one tRNA (with a specific anti-codon) for a particular amino acid; and 'wobble' base-pairing, i.e. permitting non-standard base-pairing at the 3rd anti-codon position. RNAcentral also lists the same sequence under 1 other name. Lineage: Eukaryota; Metazoa; Chordata; Mammalia; Artiodactyla; Camelidae. The record is from Rfam by way of RNAcentral.
GAGGGCAUAGCUUAGUGGUAGAGUGUGUGCCUAGCAUGCACAGGGUCCAAGGUUCAAUCCCCAGUACCUCCA